This 496-nucleotide ribosomal RNA is filed under the name uncultured bacterium. Its description in RNAcentral is "partial 16S ribosomal RNA". It matches the Rfam family "Bacterial small subunit ribosomal RNA", at positions 29 to 507 of the family's 1533-position model. The record is from RNAcentral.
AUGAACGCUGGCGGCGUGCCUAAUACAUGCAAGUCGAGCGAACAGAUGAGGAGCUUGCUCCUCUGACGUUAGCGGCGGACGGGUGAGUAACACGUGGAUAGCCUACCUAUAAGACUGGGAUAACUACGGGAAACCGGAGCUAAUACCGGAUAAUAUAUUGAACCGCAUGGUUCAAUAGUGAAAGACGGUUUUGCUGUCACUUAUAGAUGGAUCCGCGCCGCAUUAGCUAGUUGGUAAGGUAACGGCUUACCAAGGCAACGAUGCGUAGCCGACCUGAGAGGGUGAUCGGCCACACUGGAACUGAGACACGGUCCAGACUCCUACGGGAGGCAGCAGUAGGGAAUCUUCCGCAAUGGGCGAAAGCCUGACGGAGCAACGCCGCGUGAGUGAUGAAGGUCUUCGGAUCGUAAAACUCUGUUAUUAGGGAAGAACAAAUGUGUAAGUAACUAUGCACGUCUUGACGGUACCUAAUCAGAAAGCCACGGCUAACUACGUG